RNAcentral lists this ribosomal RNA (581 nucleotides) under Undibacterium sp. StTD405. Its description in RNAcentral is "bacterial SSU rRNA". It matches the Rfam family "Bacterial small subunit ribosomal RNA", at positions 102 to 679 of the family's 1533-position model. The record is from RNAcentral. Lineage: Bacteria; Pseudomonadati; Pseudomonadota; Betaproteobacteria; Burkholderiales; Oxalobacteraceae.
ACGGGUGAGUAAUAUAUCGGAACAUACCCUAGAGUGGGGGAUAACGUAGCGAAAGUUACGCUAAUACCGCAUACGAUCUAAGGAUGAAAGCGGGGGAUCGCAAGACCUCGUGCUCAUGGAGUGGCCGAUAUCUGAUUAGCUAGUUGGUAGGGUAAAAGCCUACCAAGGCGACGAUCAGUAGCUGGUUUGAGAGAACGACCAGCCACACUGGAACUGAGACACGGUCCAGACUCCUACGGGAGGCAGCAGUGGGGAAUUUUGGACAAUGGGGGCAACCCUGAUCCAGCAAUGCCGCGUGAGUGAAGAAGGCCUUCGGGUUGUAAAGCUCUUUUGUCAGGGAAGAAACGGUGAGUUCUAAUACAACUUGCUAAUGACGGUACCUGAAGAAUAAGCACCGGCUAACUACGUGCCAGCAGCCGCGGUAAUACGUAGGGUGCAAGCGUUAAUCGGAAUUACUGGGCGUAAAGCGUGCGCAGGCGGUUUUAUAAGUCUGAUGUGAAAUCCCCGGGCUCAACCUGGGAACUGCAUUGGAGACUGUAAGGCUAGAGUGUGUCAGAGGGGGGUAGAAUUCCACGUGUAGC